This is an RNA transcript of Zalophus californianus (California sea lion), 2083 nucleotides long. It is a transcript of the gene named cell division cycle protein 16 homolog, with no coding region annotated. The transcript has a single exon. NCBI's taxonomy places the organism in Eukaryota, Metazoa, Chordata, Mammalia, Carnivora, Otariidae. The record is from RefSeq and is a predicted model, not a curated record.
AUGAACCUGGAGCGGCUGCGGAAGCACAUCCGACAGUACCUGGACCAGCAACAGUAUCAAAGUGCUCUAUUUGGGGCAGAUAAAGUAGCUUCACUCUCUCAUGAGGAACCCCAGGACAUUUAUUGGUUGGCUCAGUGUCUGUACCUAACAGCACAAUAUCAUAGAGCAGCUCAUGCACUUCGGUCACGAAAACUGGACAAACUAUAUGAAGCAUGUCGCUACCUUGCAGCUAGAUGACAUUAUGCUGCAAAAGAGCAUCAGCAGGCUCUUGAUAUUCUUGAUAUGGAGGAGCCAAUCAACAAAAGGUUAUUUGAGAAAUACUUGAAGGAUGAAAGUGGCUUGAAAGACCCCUCCAGUGACUGGGAAAUGUCACAGUCUUCGAUAAAGAGUUCUAUUUGUCUCCUACGAGGGAAGAUCUACGAUGCCCUGGAUAACCGAGCUCUAGCUACCUAUAGCUAGCUACAAAGAAGCUUUGAAGCUCGAUGCCUACUGUUUUGAAGCAUUUGAUCUUUUAACAUCACAUCACAUGUUGACAGCCCAAGAAGAAAAAGAACUUCUUGAGUCACUACCUCUUAGCAAGCUCUGUACUGAAGAACAGGAAUUGCUAUGCUUUCUCUUUGAGAACAAAUUAAAAAAGUAUAAUAAACCUAGUGAAACUGUCCUCCCCGAGUCUGUAGAUGGUUUGCAAGAGAAUCUGGAUGUGGUAGUGUCAAAGACAUUAUUAUAACUGUGAUUUUAAAAUGUGCUACAAGCUUACUUCUGUAGUAAUGGAGAAAGAUCCUUUCCAUGCAAACUGUUUACCUGUACAUAUAGGGACACUUGUGGAGCUGAAUAAAGCAAAUGAACUUUUCUAUCUUUCUCAUAAGUUGGUGAAUCUAUAUCCUAGUAAUCCUGUGUCUUGGUUUGCAGUGGGAUGCUACUAUCUCAUGGUUGGUCAUAAAAAUGAACAUGCCAGAAGAUAUCUCAGCAAAGCAACAACACUUGAGAAGACUUACGGGCCUGUGUGGGUAGCAUACGGGCACUCGUUUGCAGUGGAGAGUAAGCACGACCAGGCCAUGGCUGCCUACUUCACGGCCGCACAGCUGAUGAAAGGGUAUUUGCCAAUGCUGUACAUCGGAUUAGAAUACGGAUUGACCAAUAACUCAAAAUUGGCUGAAAGAUUCUUUGGCCAAGCACUAAGCAUUGCACCAGAAGACCCAUUUGUUAUGCACGAGGUUGGCGUGGUUGCGUUUCAGAACAGAGAAUGGAAAACAGCAGAAAAAUGGUUCCUUGAUGCUUUGGAAAAAAUUAAAGCAAUUGGAAAUGAGGUAACAGUUGACAAAUGGGAGCCUUUGUUGAACAACUUGGGGCAUGUCUGCAGGAAGCUUAAAAAGUAUGCCGAGGCCUUGGACUAUCACCAUCAGGCGCUGGUGUUAAUUCUCCAGAACGCAUCCACGUAUUCUGCCAUAGGGUAUAUCCAUAGUCUGAUGGGCAACUUUGAAAAUGCUGUUGACUAUUUCCACACAGCUCUUGGUCUUAGGCGAGAAGAUACAUUUUCUGUUACAAUGCUUGGUCAUUGCAUUGAGAUGUACAUUGGUGAUUCUGAAGCUUACAUUGGAGCAGACAUUAAAGACAAAUUAAAAUGCUAUGAUUUUGAUGUGCAUACAAUGAAGACACUAAAAAACAUUAUUUCACCUCCAUGGGAUUUCAGGGAAUUUGAAGUAGAAAAACAGACUACAGAAGAAACAGGGCUUGCACCACUAGAAACCUCAAGGAAAACUCCAGAUCCCAGAUCUUCCUUGGAAGAAACCUUCGAAAUUGAAAUGAACGAAAGUGACAUGAUGCUGGAGACCUCUAUGUCAGACCACAGCACAUGAUUGCAGACAGCUCUCAGCUCCAUUUUGUCCUGGGGGAGGUCAGGGUUUCCUCACAUCCUUGUCCUAUCUUCAGAAUUCCCCAUUUCUUGACACAAAGGCAGACUGCACCUCUCCGUUUAGGCAUAGAGACGUGCUGGAAGAGACCGGACUGCACACCUUUGCAACACAUGUUUUCUGAUCCUACAAAACAAUUCUGUGUAGAGGAAUAAAGAGGUAAAUUGUGUAUU